GGAGUUUGGGCCGUGUCUCAGUCCCAAUGUGGCCGAUCAACCUCUCAGUUCGGCUACGUAUCAUCACCUUGGUAGGCCAUUACCCCACCAACAAGUUAAUACGCCGCAGGCCCAUCCAAAAGUGACAGCAAAAGCCGUCUUUUACAUGAACAUCAUGCGGUGUUCAUGGUUAUGCGGUAUUAGCACCUGUUUCCAAGUGUUAUCCCCCUCUUUUGGGCAGGUUGCCUACGUGUUACUCACCCGUUCGCCACUAAGCUUCUUUCGGUGAAUGCAAGCAUUCAGUGAAAGAAAGCUUCGUUCGACUUGCAUGUAUUAGGCACGCCGCCAGCGUCUCCUGAGCACGGAGUCAAACUACU
Molecule: ribosomal RNA, 356 nt
Filed under: Ligilactobacillus ruminis
Lineage: Bacteria; Bacillati; Bacillota; Bacilli; Lactobacillales; Lactobacillaceae
Description: Lactobacillus ruminis partial 16S ribosomal RNA
Source: RNAcentral